UCUCAGAUGGUCCAGUGGUCAAGAUUUCCGCCUGUCAUGUGAUCACGCGUUCACUGCUCGCGGACGACCGGGGUUCGAUUCCCCGUCUGAGAG
Molecule: transfer RNA, 93 nt
Rfam family: tRNA
About the family: Transfer RNA (tRNA) molecules are approximately 80 nucleotides in length. Their secondary structure includes four short double-helical elements and three loops (D, anti-codon, and T loops).
Source: Rfam